GUCCGCACCGGGGCGCCCUGCGCACACCCUUACCGCCCGGCGGCGUCCGCCGACCCCGGAGUCCUGGCCCGGGGCGCGGGAGUCCGGAGGGCAGGACCGGGACGCUCGCGCUGGCCUCCCGUGCGGUGGCGUGCGUGAGCGUCCCUUCCACUUCGGCAGCCCGCACCGCCUCCGUAGCCUCCCAGGUCUGGCCUCCUGCCCCCCUCCGAGCCCCACCGCGCGCCGACCCGGAUCCCGGGCGCCUCACGGCGCGGCUGCCAGCUGGGCCUGGCGCCGAGGCUCGGGCCCCCAAGUUGUGGGAGGACGCCGGGCCUGUUGACACUUCCCUCGGACUCGGGGGAAGACUGUUACCAGAGGAGCCUCCUUCGGCACGAGCCUCGUCGCUGCCGCCUCGGGAAGGGAGGAGAGCGCAGCCGACCGGUGGCCUGACGCGGUCGCAUCACAGGUGUCUCAGUGGCCGCGCGCUUGGAGCAGGUCACAGACGUGCGCGCGGCGGCGAUCCGGGCUUCCCUGCGAGGCCGAGGCCCAGGCCGGCGGCCCGGUGCGUGGCGGGCGGCGAGGGGGCGCUGUGGCCCGCGACUGCGGCCUGCUGGGCUCCGCGCAGGGCAGGGCUCGCGUGGGAGAAGGAAGACACCGCGAGCGCUUCGGACCCGGCCGCUCCCACCGCUUCUGUUACUCUGGCCUUCCUUGGAGUGUGAGUUCGGUGAAAACAGAGCCACCAUCGUGGGCGGGUAGUUUUGCGGGCAGUUCAGGCUAAGUAAGCACAUUUCGCCUCGGCUCCCUUCAGUGAGGGAACGUGUAACCCGCGUGGCACUUCCCUCCGCCGCCGAGCCUCCUUCCCGGACUGCGGGCCCGCGUGGGCGUGGGGGAACGGCAAGAGGAGGGGGCGUGGCUUUGCAGUUUGCUUUUUCUUAAAACUGAAACUCCUCGUUACACAUCGUGCGAAAUCUGUCCGGCUGCAGCGUGUUCGCGACCCCCUCCUUCGAGGGCCAGCGGGCUGCACUUCGGGAUGGGAGCCAGCGGCCCCUGGGGAGGCGCGCCGUAUGGGUGCGUGGCGCCUGGACCCCUCCGCCCGAGGCAGCUCUCUUGGCAGCCCUGCCACGUGCAGCUGACCAUCUUCAGCCGCUGCGAGGGCUGCUCCUUGCGAACCUGCCGCUCCCGGUGUCCUCCUCCGCCUGGCGGACUCGGGCCUGUCCUCCUCCUCCACCUCCCUCAGCCCUGCGCCCCUCGGCGAUGACCUCGGGCGGGCUCUCCCGGCGGGUGCGGGCACCCUGGGCUGCAGAGCCGACCUUGCUUGGACGUGGACGGGCUGGAGUUCCUCUGAAGGAUCUGCAUUCCGGGAGACACUUUUAGGAACAGGAAGCCCGGCCCGGUUCUGGGCAGGCGGUAUCUGAGGACAACACCUUUGCCCUGCAGUGGAGCAGGCCGGGCCCACGCCCCAGAGCUCCCAGGGUGCUCUGGGCGAGUGGAGUCGUCGGGAUUUGUUUUGUUUUGUAAAAAUAUUUCUGCAAGACAGACCCCGGGAGAACGCAGCUCUGCGUGCAGCAGCCCUCGUGCAUUCCUGCUUCCGGACGCCAGAGCGCACCUCAGUGCAGGCCAGUGCAGCGCCCUGCUGCGGCACCGCGGGCCAUCCCCGGAGCAGGUAGGCAGACUCCGCCGCCGCCCGCCGGGAAGACGCGGGAAGCUCCGUCUGAUCGAGCAGUCAGGCCCUGAGGAGUGUUUGUCUGGGGCCGCGUUGCCCUUGGCCGCCCCUUAACUAGGUGUGCGCACCCAAAGCAGUUCGCCCUCCCCGUGGGCUGGGGUCGUGGUCCACACGAAUUCACCCUGCGCCCAAACUCCCCGAAGGACUUACACGCGUGAGACUGGGUCGGCAGGGCAGAGGAGGGUUGUUGUUUGUUUUUUUUUUUGAACGUGGCAUGGAGUGCAGAAAUAUUUUUUAAAGGAUAUUCGUUACAAGUCAAACCCUCAGCAGGGCAGACCGCAGCUGCGACUGACAGGAGAGUUCUGCAGAGGACGGGUAAGGACACUGUGCAGAAUCCGUUCAGUGUCAGCAGAGACCCUGGGCCUGGAGCAGGGUUCACUUGUGCUGGGGAGACCCCUGGCAGGAAAAGAACCUCAUGCCGCCUGCACCAACCAACAGGGCCUAGGGGUGCUGAGCCUGCACCCCUGGCUGUGACAGUUCUGGUUGCUGUGGGGAAAUUAGGGAAGCAUCCCCUCCUCACCUGCUGCCCUCUGCAGCGAAGAGGCCACUGGGGAGGGGAGCCGGGUGCUGCUCCAGGGCAGCGUGGAGGCACCGUGCGCAGUGUGGGCAGGAGAGCGCCUUGUCCCGCCACCCCGUGGGUCUGUGGCCUGGAGCGGCCCCCAGAGCCCACAUCCACCCACGGAAGAGGUCCCAAGGGCGGAAGAUGGGGGAGGAGAACACAGAGAAGACGGCCCCAGGUGAGAUUUAAAAGGCAGUCUCAGCUCUGUUGCUCUGUUCCCGAGGUUGUUUGUGAAGUUCGGCCUCAUGUUAGCCUCUCUUGGCCUGGGAGGCCAGGUGCAUGGGACUGCAGCACUGUUCUUUCCUGUGAUAUUGUAGAGAUUAAAGUUAAGUACUGUCAGCCAGCUGUGUGGUGCCCCUGUGUAAUCCCAGCGCUCAGGAGGCUGAGGCAGGAGGAGUGCCGUGAGUUCAAUGCCAGGCUGAAGUAUGUAGUGAGACCCUGUCUCGAAAAAAAUAAUCAAGUACUAGCUUUUAAAAGAAGCAUUAUAAAUGCAGGAGUAUAAUAUGCUAGUUUGGGAAAACUUGGUUGAAGAUAUCACUUUCUUAAACAUUUGCGUUUGAUUUUUUUCUGCUCUCUCCAUUCCUCCGCCAUUGCAACCUCAGGCCCUGGCGGCUAAGGCCCUGGGGAUGCAGGGCUGGGAGUUGCACGCUUUCAUGCUGCCACGCUGCACGUGCUUCUCCAUGUCACUGUGAACGCACUUUGGGUGAGCAUAUUGUAGAAGUCAGCCAUGGAUUAAAGCCAGGACUGCAGAAAGGCAGGAGGACAGGGAAGGGCCAGGGAGGCAGGGAGAAGACCUGGUCAGGCGGCUCUGCUGGGCCCUGGCCCGGGCCCUUCCCCCCUCUGCGUCUCUGCUCCGGCAGACCGGGUGCAGUGUUCUGGGCCCCUCCACCCGCGCUGCCUUCCCUGCAGCCCCAGAACGGGAUCUCCACACACACUGCCCGCUCACCACCCCUGCACAGUGGACGAGGUCUUGGCCUGGCUCACUUGGGAAUCGCCAGACCUCCCCGUGUUCACUCCACUCCGACCUGUUCACUGGAGGCCGGGACGGGAGCAGAGGGCUGGCGCCUGCUGCACCCCGCUCCCUGCGCUGGGCACCCUGACCUCUCACCUCCUGCACACAGCAGGCCACCUCCCAGGCCAGCGCCCCCUCCUUGGAGGCUUCAACCUCAAGACUCUUGUGCUGCUGCCUCCUGGCUGCUGAGGCAGCCACUUCCAGGGACGCUGGCUCUCCCUUCCUGCCCCCACCCUGCCCGGCACGCUUGGCACUGUGGGCAUAGGACAGGCACCGAGCAGAUGCAUGGACGCAUGUGUGACUGGCCCUUGGCAACUCACCUUUCUGCCAAAAGCGAUAGCAGGGCUUGUGGGUGAGAAACAACGAUGACGUGGACGCCUGCGUACAGUCCCCACUGCCUGCUGCUCCGGCGGCCUCCCCACACCUGGUCAUUGCUACGUUUCCAUCUGAUGUUUUCCGGAUGACCCCCACAGCCUCAGGACAUCUUCAGUGGGGCUGCAGGGAGGCGACUGCAUUGUGGGGGCUGAUGGCUGGCUUGCUGUUGGGAGGGGCCGUUGGAGGACACAGGUCACUGGGGGCGUGGCCCAGAAGGGUCUGCCUUCCUCCCUCAUCUCCCUGCUUCAUCUACACCCUGCCACGAGCAGCUCUCCUCUGCCAGGCCCCUCUGGCCUGCACCCUGCCUCGGAGCCAGCUGACUAUGGACUGAAGCCUCCACAGACUGGGAACCGACAUAAACCUCUCCUUAUAGUUGAGGCUGUCCAGUGUCGUGUUCUAGCAACAAAACAGGUGACUAAGACAGUCACGGCCACUGCAAGGAAGCCGGUCCAAGCACAUCACUCCUUGGCAGCCCCAAGUUUUAAGACCAACAGAUACAGACAUUUAAAAUCACAUUUAAUUCUAAAAUUCCCCGCUUGGCAAUCCAAUCUUGGAGGACAGGAAUUGCCCCCUGACCUUCCUGCCCCCAGCACAUGGCUGUGAACUGAGUGAAUGAUGAAGUGCAUGUUGACAUUUGGGAAGAGGAAACUUAAGAGCAAACCGGACUUGGAGGAUAUUUUCAAUACAAAUUCAGAGCGGGCCUGUGUUAGAAACCAAUGUAAAAAGUCAUGUAGGCCCCAGCAAGGUUUUCAUAGACUGCGUGAGCUUAUGCUUAAGUAAGCAUGCAAAAGCUAAGGCUUCAGAAGAGCUCAAAGAGCUUUUAAGCAGCAGAAGAGAGUGGGAGGACUCAGCCUACCUGACCCUGAGAUGAGUGGAUGUCAACAUGAGGAUCGGUUUGUGGUGGAGGGGUGGACACAGGCCAGCAGAGCAGAGCGGACAACCCAGAGGGGCCUGUGCUCACGGGGCCCCAUUAGUUAUUUCCUAGCUCUGGGUUUGAGCCCAGGGCGUCACACCUGCGAGGUCCGGCCUCCAUCACUGAGCCCGCCCCCAGCCCCAUUUGCUUUUUGCGGGGGAGGGAUUCAGCCUUUUUAGCAACUGGAGCUGGAGCAAAGGGGCAACACUAAGACAGCAAGUUUUACAAAAGAGUUUCUUCACACAGCCAGGCGUGGAGGAGGAGAGCCAGGCUCAGCCUCCUCCCAGAGGGCAGGGCUUAGGGACAUUCAUGGAAGGAGUAGGAUGGCCUAAGGCGUGGGGAGGCCAGGGGCACAGGGGAGGUUGGCGGUGGGCUGCACGGCUCCUCAGAGGACACACGUCUGGAUAACACGGCACUGACAGAGCAGAGGGUGCAGCUCUUGACCCCUGGGUGUUGAAGAAGUCAUCUGUGACCCUGCACAGCCCCAUGCUCAGAGCUGGGGCCCUGCCAAGGUAGCCGGGCAGCCCAGAUGCCCAUUGCCUACCCUCCAGCUGGUCACCUGCAGAGGAGGUGGCUGGUCAGUGACACCAUGCGCAUCUUCCUGACCUCCAAAAUGCAAGACUUUCAAAGUCACCUAAAAGCAAGUAACAAUGCAAGUGUCCCUCAGUUUCAGACCUGCAGUUCCCUGCUUGACCGCCGGACCCUGCUCCUGAAGAGAGGAGUCGCUGGGUGCGGCCUCUCAAUGUCAGGCGUCUUUGCAGAGAGCCGCCCUCCCGGAGAGGUGCUCACGGGGGCCUGGACCUGGCCUGCGUCCUGCCGGUGAGCGGCACUGUGUGCAGGUGGACUGCGCUUCAUCACCCUUUGGCUGCUUUAGACUUGUGAGCUGUUCCCAGUGCUCGGGCUGUUUUGGAAAACAGACGAACACUGCUUUGACUUCUUAGUGCAGCCCUCUAUGACAACUUUUCAUUCAUCCUGGGUGAAACCCUAGGAGUGGAGCAGGUCAUCAGAGUCUGGCCUAUUUUGCCGACCACGACAAUCUUCAGUUCUACCCAUUGCUGGCAGCUGACAUGAUUUCCUGUUCGUUAUGGCUGAGGGCUUCUCGGCUCCAGUCUUACCCACUUUUCUCUGUCAGUUCACCUUUGGACAGACACCUACCUGAUUCCCCAACCUGGGCGUUCGGUUUUGAAAAGCUGCCAGGUUGUUGCCUGAGCCGGGCCGAUGUGGCAGAGCUCCAUCGCUGCUCUCUGGCCUGCACCUGGCGUGGUUGGCUUUUCAGCUGGGGCCGUCCUGGGUCCUGGUGGGCACUUCCUUAGGUCCCGAAUCUCUGGCCUCCCCUCGUCAUGGGGUCAGCCAGACGGACUGUGUGUCUGUUUCCCUGUCCCUGAAUGCUGUGGCAUUUGAAGGCUGACGGCUCAGCUGUCCUUCCAGGGCCAGGACCUGGUGGAGGUGGCAGGCUCAGCUGGCAGCACAACAUUCACGUGCAGUCCAGGCGACACCAGGUGUGUACCCCUGCCUCCCCACAGGCCGACUCCUAAUUCCCCGGCCAGAAUCGGCCCCAGGAAUCAGACAGCUGGAGGCCACUGGCGGGACCCAGAGCCAGCAGCCGGCACUCCGAGGAGCUGGCCAAGCCACCGAGGGCCCUGCCUGCCCGGAGGGGACCCCUGGUUCUGUUCCCUGGUUCUGCCUUGCCAGUGCCGGGUCCCGUGGGCUGCUUGCCUCCUGAUGUCCUCCAGAGAAACCAAGCAGUGCCCCGUCCUCUAAGCACCAGUCUCUCUGUGGUGCUGUCACCGGGCACGCGGCCCCGAGGGCACUCUUGGAGCACAGGGCAUCUCCUGUGGCAGGGCUGAAUUUCCAAGUGACUCACGGCAUCCAUCCACCUUCCCUGCCACCUCUGUCCCCUCUUUUGGCCCUGUAAUCCCCCUCAGAAGGGUUUUCCCGCGCUAUGCUCACCCUCCUUUCUCAGUGCAUGCCUUACAAAGAUUUCCCCCACCUGGGGUUGGUCUUCUCAGUCUUUAACUCUUAUCCACAGAGUUAUUCAGCAGGCAAAGCUUUCAAUUUUGGUAAACUCUGGGUUACAAAAUCUUUCCUUUUGCCGUGUGUGUACAUGUGUAUUCUAUUCAAGAAGUAUUUGCCUAUCCACGGCCUCAGACUUUCUCCAGUAUAACUCACAGGAGUUUUUAGGGUUUAACUCUUCAUUUAGGCCUGUUAUGAUUGUCACUUUGGAAUAUUUUAAGGUGUGUGAUAAGGGUUAGAGUUUAUCCUCUUUGCAUACAAUAUCACUUACUAGUAUUUUAUAAAAUUAGUUUGGAAAUUCCUAGUCCUGUGCAUUACGUGUAAAUUUUGAGUUAGCUUUUCAGCUUCUAUGAAGGGGCUACUCAAGUUGGAUUGGCAUUUAACUGAUGACAUCAUUUUGUGGAGAAUUACUCUCAAAAAUAUUGACUCAUUUAAGCCAUAAAGACUAUAUACAUUUCCUCUUUUUUAAGUCAUUUAAAAUUUUUCUCAGGAAUGCUUUAUGGUUUAGUAUACAGAUUUUGAACAUAGUUAUUAAAGUUAUUCAGUAUUUUAUUCUAUCAUUUAUUUACUUAUGCUUUUAGAAAUGUUUUUUUGCAAUAAUUUUCAAAUUGUUCAUUGUGAAUAUGUAUGGGUAUACACAUGUUUUUUGUAUGUUCACCAUGUGUUCUCCAGUGUGGCUAAUUUCAGUUAUUAGUCAGGUUAUCUUUUCUAUAGGUUUGUACAAAAUUCUACAUCAACGAUUAUGUUGUGUGUGCAUGAAGAAAUUCCCUCUUCCCUUUCUCAUCUGUCCACUGCCCUCACUGGGAUGCCAGCAUCCUGGGGGAAGGUGAGGGUCCCUUGUCCCUGCCCAGCUGGUGCCUGCUCUGGCCCUGAGAGGCAUCCUGAGCAGGUGAGAACAUUCCCUUCACUUGAUCACCAAGUGCUGUUACCAUGAACGGAGCUUCACUUUUCUGGGCAAUUACUUUUCUCCAUCUACUGAGAUAUAUUUUUCUAUGUAAAUCUACUUCCUUAAUGUAUGACAUUAAUUGAUUUUCAAAUGUUAAAUUAACCUUGCAUUCCUGGAAUUAACUCCAGUUGGCUGUGGUUAAAUUGCCAUUUUACAGGCCAGUGUCUCUUACAGACACAGAAAUAAAAAUUCUCCGACAUAGGAGCGAAUUGAGUUCAGUAAUGUAUUAAAGGAUAACAUAUGAUGUGUAAAUGGAUUUAUUGUAGGAAUUUUGAAAAGUCAGUCAAUGUAAUUUUCCUAUUAGCUGAAUAAAGGAGAAAAAUCUAAUGACCAUUUCAAUUGACGGUUUUGCCAAAAUGUAUAGCUUCUUCAUUAAGAACACUCAGGAAACUGAACACAGUAGAAUUUCCCAGACUUCUAAGGGAUACCAGUGGGCCAUCUCCAGCAAUGCCAUUGUUGAUUAUGAAGCUGUGGACACUCGUCUGGUCUGGGAGCAAAGUAAGGAUGCCCUCUUCUGUGAAGCCUCGGAGAGAAGGCCUUAGUGAACAAACCAGAUGAAGUUCAGAAAGGUUUCCUAGUCAUCCAUCCAAAAUCCUAAGGAGUCCACAAAUGUCUACUAGGAUUGGUCCGUGAAUACAGCAUGGUUAUAGGACACAAAGCUCACGGUUGAAAGAGAUCAAUUAUAUUUCUACAAAAGGGUAAUAGGCAACACAUAAUAGGGACAUUUAAUUUUUAAAUGGCAUUUACAAUAUUAUAAAAAUAUUAAACUAAUAGGAAUAAAUUAAAUCAGCUAUGAUGCAUGAAAACGCAUGAGAAACUGUGCAGUAAUGCAGAGAGUAAUUGAAGGGGGUGAAAUUUGCCAUGAGACACAGUCCUGGAGAUGAGCACGUGUGGGGAGAUGGGUCCCCAGCUCCUAGGCAGACCGCAGAGCCGAUCCAAGUCCAGUAAGCUUUUCUGUGGAAACCAAUGGAGUUGACUCCAAAUACAGUAGUAAGCAGUUUGCAAAAGGAAGAGCCGACCUGGAGAGCUUAUGACUUGGUUUCUUGCCUGGCCCUGAAAUGACAGUGACUUUCCCAGUGUGAUGCUGGGGAAGGUAGACGAGGGAUCAGAGCAGAGCUGGAGCCCAGGAGAGACCCCUUCCUGUGGCAUAAAUGGGCUGGUGCCAGAGCACCUCAGUAUCCCUGUGCAAAGAGCAGGUGAUCGCGUUCCUAGCUCGCAUACCUACAGAAUUACAGAGGCCUCUCUGUCUAUGAGCCCUGCUGUUGGUGAACAACUAGCUUCACAAACAGAAGCAGUUGGCAGAAUUUUGUUUGGUGUGCAAACUGCACCGGGUGGCAGAUAGGACUGAGGCCAUCUUUCCCCUACUCACACGAACGUGGCUGUCUUUUCCAGAAUCGUGGAAUGAAUUAAGUUUGUGAACUGAGGUACCACUGUAUUUUUAAAUGGAUUGUAGAUCCAAAUGUCAAAGCCAAACUGUAAAACAUCUAGAAAACUACAGAAGUAAAACUUUGCAAUUUUGAAAUACGCAGGGUUUUUGUUUUAGACCCAAACAUUUUCCUAAAUGGAAAAUGGCAUAAAUUGAUUUCAAAAAAAUUCUCUUUGGAUGGAAAAUAAAAUGAAAAGGCAAACCACAAUAGAGGAAUAUAUAAUUAUAUGCAAAAUAUAGUAUUCUAGUGUAUAGUGUAAUUUUGAUACAGUAUAUAACUAUUAUAUAAUUAUUGCUUAAUAAUAUAGUAUGUUUUUAACAAGAGAUUUGUUUAUAUGAACUCAUCUUAAAUCUCAAUAAAUUCUAGCACUUGGGAGGCUGAGGCAGGAGGAUUGCCCAGAGUUCAAGGCCAGCCUGGGCUACAUGGUAAGUUUAGGGCCAGCCUGAACUACAAAGCAAGACCCUGUCUCAAAAGACCGAAAAACCAAAACCAAAGCAAAACAAAACAAAACUUCAACCCUAAUAAGAUCACAAUAAGCCUAACAGAAAUUUCACAAGUCCUAAACAGAUACUUGUCAAAACAAGAUAUAAAAUGAACAAUAAGUAUUUAAACUGGUUAGGAUUUUCAAUGAUAAGAGAAAUAUAAAUU
RNAcentral lists this long non-coding RNA (9595 nucleotides) under Heterocephalus glaber (naked mole-rat). RNAcentral describes it as "lncRNA (ENSHGLG00000035068.1)". The record is from RNAcentral. Lineage: Eukaryota; Metazoa; Chordata; Mammalia; Rodentia; Bathyergidae.